UACGUAGGGACCGAGCGUUGUCCGGAUUCAUUGGGCGUAAAGAGCUCGUAGGCGGCUAUUCAAGUCGAACGUGAAAUCUCGGAGCUCAACUCCGAAACUGCGUUCGAUACUGGGUAGCUAGAGUCUGGUAGGGGGAUCUGGAAUUCCUGGUGUAGCGGUGAAAUGCGCAGAUAUCAGGAGGAACACCGGUGGCGAAGGCGGGUCUCUGGGCAACAACUGACGCUGAGGAGCGAAAGCGUGGGGAGCGAACAGG
RNAcentral lists this ribosomal RNA (253 nucleotides) under uncultured bacterium. RNAcentral describes it as "partial 16S ribosomal RNA". It matches the Rfam family "Bacterial small subunit ribosomal RNA", at positions 524 to 776 of the family's 1533-position model. The record is from RNAcentral.